Molecule: ribosomal RNA, 480 nt
Filed under: uncultured bacterium
Lineage: Bacteria
Description: partial 16S ribosomal RNA
Rfam family: Bacterial small subunit ribosomal RNA
Source: RNAcentral
GAUGAACGCUCGCGGCAGGCCUAACACAUGCAAGUCGAGUGAGAGGUUACCUUCGGGUAACCAAAACCGGCGCACGGGUGCGUAACGCGUAUACAAUCUGCCUUUCACAUAGGGAUAGCCCGAAGAAAUUUGGAUUAAUACCUAAUGGUAUAUAAGAGCGGCAUCGUUUUUAUAUUAAAGCUACGGUGGUGAAAGAUGAGUAUGCGUUCUAUUAGCUAGUUGGAGAGGUAACGGCUCCCCAAGGCGACGAUAGAUAGGGGUUCUGAGAGGGAUGUCCCCCACACUGGUACUGAGAUACGGACCAGACUCCUACGGGAGGAAGCAGUGAGGAAGAUUGGACAAUGGUCGGAAGACUGAUCCAGCCAUGCCGCGUGCAGGAUGAAGGUCCUAUGGAUUGUAAACUGCUUUUGUAAGGGAAGAAUAAGGAGUACGUGUACUUUGAUGACGGUACCUGACGAAUAAGCAUCGGCUAACUCCGUG